AUACGUAGGGUGCAAGCGUUAAUCGGAAUUACUGGGCGUAAAGCGUGCGCAGGCGGUUUUGUAAGACAGAGGUGAAAUCCCCGGGCUCAACCUGGGAACUGCCAUUGUGACUGCAAGGCUGGAGGGCGGCAGAGGGGGAUGGAAUUCCGCGUGUAGCAGUGAAAUGCGUAGAUAUGCGGAGGAACACCGAUGGCGAAGGCAAUCCCCUGGGCCUGCACUGACGCUCAUGCACGAAAGCGUGGGGAGCAAACAGGAUUAGAUACCCUGGUAGUCCACGCCCUAAACGAUGUCAACUGGUUGUUGGGGAUUUAUUUUCUCAGUAACGAAGCUAACACGUGAAGUUGACCGCCUGGGGAGUACGGCCGCAAGGUUAAAACUCAAAUGAAUUGACGGGG
RNAcentral lists this ribosomal RNA (395 nucleotides) under uncultured bacterium. RNAcentral describes it as "partial 16S ribosomal RNA". It matches the Rfam family "Bacterial small subunit ribosomal RNA", at positions 523 to 918 of the family's 1533-position model. The record is from RNAcentral.